GUGUGAAAAACUCCGGUGGUAUAAGAUGGACCCGCGUUGGAUUAGCUAGUUGGUGAGGUAACGGCCCACCAAGGCGACGAUCCAUAGCCGACCUGAGAGGGUGACCGGCCACAUUGGGACUGAGACACGGCCCAAACUCCUACGGGAGGCAGCAGUGGGGAAUAUUGCACAAUGGGCGAAAGCCUGAUGCAGCGACGCCGCGUGAGCGAAGAAGUAUUUCGGUAUGUAAAGCUCUAUCAGCAGGGAAGAUAAUGACGGUACCUGACUAAGAAGCACCGGCUAAAUACGUGCCAGCAGCCGCGGUAAUACGUAUGGUGCAAGCGUUAUCCGGAUUUACUGGGUGUAAAGGGAGCGCAGGCGGUGCGGCAAGUCUGAUGUGAAAGCCCGGGGCUCAACCCCGGUACUGCAUUGGAAACUGUCGUACUAGAGUGUCGGAGGGGUAAGCGGAAUUCCUAGUGUAGCGGUGAAAUGCGUAGAUAUUAGGAGGAACACCAGUGGCGAAGGCGGCUUACUGGACGAUAACUGACGCUGAGGCUCGAAAGCGUGAGGAGCAAAC
Molecule: ribosomal RNA, 556 nt
Filed under: uncultured bacterium
Lineage: Bacteria
Description: bacterial SSU rRNA
Rfam family: Bacterial small subunit ribosomal RNA
Source: RNAcentral